RNAcentral lists this long non-coding RNA (4406 nucleotides) under Triticum aestivum (bread wheat). Its description in RNAcentral is "long non-coding RNA (TAES_LNC027333)". The record is from RNAcentral. Lineage: Eukaryota; Viridiplantae; Streptophyta; Magnoliopsida; Poales; Poaceae.
AAGAGUGUUUAUUCAUAAAGCAGAGCAAGAGAAAUAGUUUGAUCGAUGCUAAUAGGUAACAGAUAAAUGACAAUCUUACAAGGUGGAUGACUCGUCAUAGACACAUCCAGAUUUUCAAAUCAAGGUUUAACAGUCUCCAAAACGUGGAAGAUCUCCAAAAGAGAGGCAGAGUUCCUUGGAUCAUCAGAACACAGGCAUACCAAGUCUUAGAGAGAAACUAAAUACGAUACAUGGAUCAUAUGUAUAGACGAGCUGAGGUCAAAAAUACUGAUGCACAGUGAGACUACAUCGAUGGUUCACUAAGCUGCUCCUAUUGGCAUUUAAUCAACCAACUGGUCUACCAUCAAGAUAGACCUCACCACCAUGAAGUACAAGCCCGCUCAAGAGGAGGUUCCUGACGCAGAGUCGCGACCUCAAGCACCUCACCACCACGCCAAAACCCAUCCAUCAGCACAAUCAUGUUUGACGUUGGGCUGCCUGUAACAAUGAGAAGAACGUUAUGAUUCUCCAACGCAAGAGUUUCCAAGAAUAGGAAAAUAAAUUUUACAUUGUCUCAGAUUCAGAUGACCUCCGUAAAUCAGAAGAACAUAUUAAUUAGAUGUACCUAACACACACAUGUACAUGAAGAUAGGAUUGAUAGAUUUUAUGUCAAUAUCUAAUCUCUAACCAUCUUCGAGACCUCUCUUGGAACACUAUCCCCCAUGGUGCGCAACCACCACCAUUCAGCAAUUCAUCAAAUGCUAGAUGCCUUUUAAAUGCCACUCUUUCGCAAUCCCUGCAAACAACAUUGCAGAGACCACAAAAAUCUUUGGAAAAAUCUGAUACAAUAUGUAUUUGUUGUUUAGUUACUUUGCUAAUUUAGAGCCUAAUGACAGUAGUUUUUUCUUUAGAAAAUAAUAACAACGACAAGAGCGGUAAGGUCAUACAUGUGCGCACGAAGACUUGUCUUCGUAGCCUGAUUUGGUAAUGCAAGUAUGACACUUGCAUGAGUUCCAAGCAUUGGUGCAUGGUAUUGGAGUUAGAUGGCUGAUCUAGAAUCAUUUACAUGAUUUGAGAAAUCUUCCUAAUAAUUUUUUAUGUGCAGAAUUCAAUGAAGUUUUUUAGACAGGUUGAUGACUCAUGCAAACUUAAUUAUCUUAAGUUUCAAACAAUUAAUUCUUUGUAUCUCCUGAACAUACAAAAAGAACUAGCCAUUGGCAGUCAAAGGAGCAUAGACAAGUGUAAUCAGAGGGAUUAAAUUGUUACCUAAUCAUAGAUUGUUCUUUAUUCUUCAUCCUUCAAAGUCUACAGAGAAGAGGCGGAAUUGUAUGUAUCAGUACUAUUCAUAGCUAUACAUCCACAAAUUGGUAACACACGAAGAGUACAGUUCACCGAGCUAAAUUUAGGCAUUGCAAAAGCUAUUGGUAUCACUCAAACACCAGAAUAUUAGGUAGAAAGUAAAGUUGGUAUUUGAUUCAUGCCAUCAAAAUAGUAAAACUACUGCAAAAUGCAAAAGAGAAAUGGUCUGAGUUGUGCAUGCCUACUGAUUGCAGAAUAAGACAAAGCCAUAACCUCUGGAGUGUCCAGUUUUAUUAUCCCACAUGACUCAAGCAUCCCUGAUCAUAAAUGGGACACAUGAACAACUGAAAAGCUACAUUCACACACAAAUUUCUCCAUCUAGGUUAUAUUUCACUCUCUCCUAACCAAUCACAACUCAGCCGCUCAGGACACUGUUCCUAUCCUAUGUGGACAUCGCAAGAGGGGGCGGCUUGAGCACCUCAGCAUGUCCUAUGCAGUCAUUUUCACACGUUCACACACAUUUGUCUUCUACUAUGACGUUAUGGCUUCCUAGUACAAGAUGGAAGUUUGGCUUAUAAACAAAAAACAAGUUUUACUGGCUUGCAUAGAAAAAAUUUAAACAAUAUAAUAAAAUGAAUAUGUGAAAUGAAACAACAUUUUCCAUGUCAUUCAGAUCGAAGAAAGACUUGGUCUAGAAUUAUGAGGAACAUUCACUUAGAGAAAAGUCUACUACAGCCAAGAAAGGGAGAAAGAUAAAUUAGAAACUUUCAGUUGAUUGUUUAUUUUCCAUCAAGGAAUCCAAUUUAGCCCCUCAAAGACAAUUAGCCAGAAACUCAUGUGUGUGUGUAUAGGAAAAAUCCAUCCUACCACCCAGUGGUAGUUACCAUUAAAUCAAUUCAAUACUAUAAAAAUUAGUGAUAGAAACUCCUCUACAUAUCUUGUGCAUACUUGUAUGCAAUUAGCAUCUGUAAGCAUGCAUUGAGAAAGUUUUUCGUAGCAAAAUUUGAGCCGAAUAUGAAAUGAUUAGGAUCAAUGCCAACAAACUAAGCUUAAUAUUGCUCAGUUUUCUACCACUUCAUGAGGCUUGGCAUCCCACUUGAAGGGAAACUAAAAGGUACAUAAGACAUAUAGUUUUCUGCCACUUCACGAGGCUUUUCAUUAUCUGUUUCGUGCAUUCAGGUCCCCCCCUUCCAUGGCUAUGUCAUGGUGUUUUUUAUCACAUCCAUUGAUCAAAGUACAAUAUCCCUGUGACAAAUGUUUUGCACAUUUCAAGCUGAAGAAAAGUUGGAUGGAAGAAAAUAGAAGAUGGCUUUUCAUUCUGUUUGAAAAGAUAGAAUAAAUAUAAUUUACAAAUUCACAGUUCUAUAUCCAAUGAGAAAGAAGCCUCGGUUUUAAGGAGACAUCAACACUAUCUAGCAAAAUAAUCAACUAAUUUGUCUCUUGUUAGGAGGAUGAUCUCAAAAUACAUAUCACAACAGUUUGAACUAUCACAGCUGACCGUCCACUCUAAAAAACACAUAAAUAUAAGUUAGUACAUAUAAAUUAAUCAGCACAAAGGAUAAUACUCCCUCUGUAACUAAUAUAAGACGUUUUAGAUCACUGAAUCUAAAACGUCUUAUAUUAGUUGCUGUAUUUUAGACCAAAUAAGAAUAUAUAUUAUUAUUUGUAGCUUAGACAUGUCAUAAUGCGGCUUCUUUUAUAGUCCUUAUGACAAAGUCAAACUAUUUUAAGGAAUGAUUAAUCAAUAUGUUUCUUUUAUAGCCAGAAAUAGUGGUUAGCACUUCUAUUGAACAAAUACUAAUGUUAUCGUCUGUAUGAAAACCAAAAAGGAACAUCAUCAUACCUUAACAUCCGGUGACUAAUGAUCUAGUGUCGUCAAAGCAAAUGGAAUUAUUAACCACCACAACUCGCCAAGCUUCGGGUAGUUAACCUAAAACAAUCGAAGAAGCAACUGGAGUGAAAACCUUUAAUGCUGAAAUGGCUCCACAUUACUGAUUAUGCUUCCGGCGUUGUUACAAGUAUUUACUGCAGCACAUUUUCUUAUUAUCAUAGUAAUUGUCCAAUCAAAUAUUUUUAUUCAGUCAAGCAGGUCUCAAAUUUUCCUAAAUGAACUACUACUCCUAAAAACAAUAGCUUUAUGACACUAAUUAAUCACCAGCUGUUAGUGGCAGAUUAUAGAUAAAACUGAAAGCACAAGUGGCAUGGUGCGCAUCAAUCAAUUCAUCGAACGUGAUCUCGGGCAGCUAGUGCAUCAUGCCAUUUGAUUAUACUUGUUUCAAAUGUACUCCCUCCGUCCUGAAUUACUUGUCGCUCAAACGGAUCUAUUUUUUAGUGCUAAAUACAUCCGUUUGGGCGACAAGUAGUUUGGGACAGAGGGAGUAUGUUUUUCUUCAAAUAAUCUGGGUGCCGAUUUCUGUCCUCAGUAGUUAUGUAUGCUCUUGUGUCUAAGUGGCCGCGUCUGAACUACAUUCUCACUCGAUGUGUGAAAUGAGGCAUCCCAUAAUUUGCUUCAUAAUUUUUGUUUUGCUAAUUAACCCAUACGAAACAUCAUGAAUGUUGAUUUUUUUUGCAUAAACUGGUAAAACUUAAGCUAGUUUGACUUAGGACCAAACUAAAAAGAACAUCCUAUUUGAGGAAGGAGAGGGAAUUUAUUAUAUGACACAAGAACACCUACCUGAAUGUUUAUAUAGUUGAAGGAGGUAAAAGGAUAACACCACAUGCCACACAAAGAAUAUUCAAUCACGGGUGGGAUGGUGUGGGUGGCGUGAGGAACUAAUCUAAUCAAUAAAGAGGCUAUUCUAAUCAAAUCUAAUAAAGAAAAGAACAAGAGGGACAGGGAGAAGAAGAUAGCACAUACAUGAACUGGACCUAAGGUCCGGGCCGCAGGGGUUGGGGUCAGCGGGCCGCAGGCUGCCGAUCUAUUGCCCCGUCGUGGCGUCCAGCCACCUUGAACUCCAGCAGCGUCUCACCUGAGGGAAGGACAAGCAUCAGCCAUGGAGAUUCAGAGAUUUAUUGAGGAGAGGAAUUGAAGACUGGACGGGGUGAGCGGACCUCCACCCACGACUUCCUUGUCAAUGGCAAACUCGAGGGCACCAGCCCGCCCUGCCCCACCCCCAGCAACAACUCAC